UACAGAGGUGCCAAGCGUUUGUUCGGAUUUAUUGGGCGUAAAGGGUGCGUAGGCGGUCAUACAAGUCGGUUGUGAAAUUCCGGAGCCUAACUCCGGAACUGCAUUCGAAACUGUAUGGCUCGAGGUCUGGAGAGGUAAUUGGAAUUCUCGGUGUAGCAGUGAAAUGCGUAGAUAUCGAGAGGAACACCAGAGGCGAAAGCGAAUUACUGGACAGAACCUGACGCUGAGGCACGAAAGCUAGGGGAGCAAACGGG
Molecule: ribosomal RNA, 254 nt
Filed under: uncultured bacterium
Lineage: Bacteria
Description: partial 16S ribosomal RNA
Rfam family: Bacterial small subunit ribosomal RNA
Source: RNAcentral